GACGAACGCUGGCGGCGUGCUUAACACAUGCAAGUCGAACGGAAAGGCCCUGCUUUUGUGGGGUGCUCGAGUGGCGAACGGGUGAGUAACACGUGAGUAACCUGCCCUUGACUUUGGGAUAACUUCAGGAAACUGGGGCUAAUACCGGCUAGGAGCGCCUGCUGCAUGGUGGGGGUUGGAAAGUUUCGGCGGUUGGGGAUGGACUCGCGGCUUAUCAGCUUGUUGGUGGGGUAGUGGCUUACCAAGGCUUUGGCGGGUAGCCGGCCUGAGAGGGUGACCGGCCACAUUGGGACUGAGAUACGGCCCAGACUCCUACGGGAGGCAGCAGUGGGGAAUAUUGCACAAUGGGCGGAAGCCUGAUGCAGCAACGCCGCGUGCGGGAUGACGGCCUUCGGGUUGUAAACCGCUUUCGCCUGUGACGAAGCGUGAGUGACGGUAAUGGGUAAAGAAGCACCGGCUAACUACGUG
This 468-nucleotide ribosomal RNA is filed under the name uncultured bacterium. Its description in RNAcentral is "partial 16S ribosomal RNA". It matches the Rfam family "Bacterial small subunit ribosomal RNA", at positions 28 to 507 of the family's 1533-position model. The record is from RNAcentral.